This 528-nucleotide ribosomal RNA is filed under the name Triticum aestivum (bread wheat). RNAcentral describes it as "partial small subunit ribosomal RNA". The record is from RNAcentral. Lineage: Eukaryota; Viridiplantae; Streptophyta; Magnoliopsida; Poales; Poaceae.
AUGACUGAUGGUGGUUCACAUUUUAUUCAUGGUGCUUUCUGUAAGAUGCUUGCUAAGUAUGAUGUCAAUCAUAGAAUAGCAUCUCCUUAUCAUACGCAUUCUAGUGGUCAUGUAGAGUUGAGCAAUAGAGAGCUCAAAUUAACUUUGCAAAAGACUAUGAAUAGAUCUAGAAAGAAUUGGUCCAAAAAACUUGAUAAUGCAUUAUGGGCCUAUAGAACUGCAUACAAAAAUCCUAUGGGUAUGUCUCCUUAUAAGAUGGUUUAUGGAAAAGCAUGUCAUUUACCUCUUGAACUUGAACACAAGGCAUACUGGGCUAUCAAAGAGCUCAAUUAUGACUUCAAACUUGCCGGUGAGAAGAGGUUGUUUGAUAUUAGCUCACUUGAUGAAUGGAGAACCCAAGCCUAUGAGAAUGCCAAGCUUUUCAAAGAAAAAGUCAAACGUUGGCAUGAUAAGAGGAUACAGGAAAACUUCUCUCAAAGUGGGAAGGUCCCUACGUUAUCGAGGAGGUCUAUCAUUCUGGUGCUAUAA